ACAUGCAUCAUGGUUCAGGAAGCUCCACGCCGCAUGCAUCCGGCCGCCCAUGGCCGCUGGGAAUUCGGGGCGCACAGGCGCGAAACUUCCUUCUAAUGCACAUAACUGUGCGAAGGGGUUACCAUCUGAGAUGCAUACCAUGAAGAAGGUGGCUUUUCCAUUGGUCAUAAAAAGCCAUUGGGAAUAAGAGGGGGGCUAAGAUUGGUGUCUAGCCUGCCUGCGGUAACUAUAGCCCCUCGAGUGGUGGGGAAUGAUUAUUUGGCCUAAAGCGUCCGAUAGCCUGGCAUAGGUAAGUUUCCCGUUAAAUCCAACGUCUCAAGCGUUGGACUGCGGGAAAUCUGUCUUGGCUAGAGAGUGGGAGAGGUGUACGGUAUUCUGGGGGUAGGGGCGAAAUCCUUUGAUCCCCGGAGGACCACCAGUGGCGAAGGCUGUCACUAGAACACGUCUGACGGUAGGGACGAAAGCUGGGGUAGCGAACCGGAUUAGAUCCCGGGUAGUCCCAGCCGUGAACGAGUCAUCUUGGUGUUGGGUUGGCCACGAGCCACCCCAGUGCCGCAGGGAAGCCGUUAGCAUGCCGCCUGGGAAGUCGAUCGCAAGAUUGAAACUUAAAGGAAUUGGCGGGGGAGCACCACCAGGCGUGAAGCUGCGGUUAUGAGUCAACGCCGGGAACCUUCUGGAAGCGACAGCAAGUGAAGCCAAUUGAAAAUCUUGCAACAGCUUAAGGAGGUGCAUGGCC
RNAcentral lists this ribosomal RNA (736 nucleotides) under uncultured crenarchaeote. RNAcentral's name for it is "bacterial SSU rRNA". It matches the Rfam family "Archaeal small subunit ribosomal RNA", at positions 308 to 999 of the family's 1478-position model. Lineage: Archaea; Thermoproteati; Thermoproteota. The record is from RNAcentral.